RNAcentral lists this non-coding RNA (24 nucleotides) under Cricetulus griseus (Chinese hamster). The record is from RNAcentral. Lineage: Eukaryota; Metazoa; Chordata; Mammalia; Rodentia; Cricetidae.
GGUUGUCCAUCGGGGCCUGGUUCG